Molecule: ribosomal RNA, 450 nt
Filed under: Acinetobacter baumannii
Lineage: Bacteria; Pseudomonadati; Pseudomonadota; Gammaproteobacteria; Moraxellales; Moraxellaceae
Description: bacterial SSU rRNA
Rfam family: Bacterial small subunit ribosomal RNA
Source: RNAcentral
GUCGUCAGCUCGUGUCGUGAGAUGUUGGGUUAAGUCCCGCAACGAGCGCAACCCUUGAUCUUAGUUGCCAUCAUUCAGUUGGGCACUCUAAGGUGACUGCCGGUGACAAACCGGAGGAAGGUGGGGAUGACGUCAAAUCAUCAUGCCCCUUAUGACCUGGGCUACACACGUGCUACAAUGGACGGUACAAAGAGCUGCAAGACCGCGAGGUGGAGCUAAUCUCAUAAAACCGUUCUCAGUUCGGAUUGUAGGCUGCAACUCGCCUACAUGAAGCUGGAAUCGCUAGUAAUCGCGGAUCAGCAUGCCGCGGUGAAUACGUUCCCGGGCCUUGUACACACCGCCCGUCACACCACGAGAGUUUGUAACACCCGAAGUCGGUGGGGUAACCUUUUGGAGCCAGCCGCCUAAGGUGGGACAGAUGAUUGGGGUGAAGUCGUAACAAGGUAGCCG